UGAGUAAUGCCUAGGAAUCUGCCUGGUAGUGGGGGAUAACUUUCCCGAAACGGACGCUAAUACCGCAUACGUCCUACGGGAGAAAGCAGGGGACCUUCGGGCCUUGCGCUAUCAGAUGAGCCUAGGUCGGAUUAGCUAGUUGGUGAGGUAAUGGCUCACCAAGGCGACGAUCCGUAACUGGUCUGAGAGGAUGAUCAGUCACACUGGAACUGAGACACGGUCCAGACUCCUACGGGAGGCAGCAGUGGGGAAUAUUGGACAAUGGGCGAAAGCCUGAUCCAGCCAUGCCGCGUGUGUGAAGAAGGUCUUCGGAUUGUAAAGCACUUUAAGUUGGGAGGAAGGGCAGUUACCUAAUACGUGAUUGUUUUGAC
RNAcentral lists this ribosomal RNA (371 nucleotides) under Pseudomonas sp. 5M1. RNAcentral describes it as "bacterial SSU rRNA". It matches the Rfam family "Bacterial small subunit ribosomal RNA", at positions 107 to 478 of the family's 1533-position model. The record is from RNAcentral. Lineage: Bacteria; Pseudomonadati; Pseudomonadota; Gammaproteobacteria; Pseudomonadales; Pseudomonadaceae.